Molecule: long non-coding RNA, 30033 nt
Filed under: Populus trichocarpa (black cottonwood)
Lineage: Eukaryota; Viridiplantae; Streptophyta; Magnoliopsida; Malpighiales; Salicaceae
Description: long non-coding RNA (PTRI_LNC003392)
Source: RNAcentral
UUUGGAAAAGGUUGAUCUUCAUCAAUUAAUCGACUGUACAAAUUACACGAGCUAGAACACAACAGCAAUUUCUAUCUACAGUACUUGCGCGCAAUGGCUAUCUACAGGUUUCAUUAACACAUAGAUCUUGUAAAUAAGAGAGCUGAUCCAUUGACCCCGCGCAGGACUAGCAGUCUGGAAUCCACAUGUUCCGCAGACGAGCCUAGACAAAUCAAACAUCUCAGGCGGAACUUGCACACGGAUUUCUUGAACUAUACUGCUUGGUGUAACAUCAUUUUGAUUAAGGUUGUCCCCGAGACUCAUUGUCACUUCAAUGUCAGCUGAAACAAGUUUGGCCACUGGAAGGCUCCAGGGAAACUCCUUAUACGGGACAAGUUUCCUCCAUUUUUUAGCUGACAAUUUCUGGGCUAAAGAAUCUUGAUUGUUUGGUUGCCCAAAGGAUAACUUCUCUUAUGUCUUUUCCUCCUUAAGAUACAACCGUCUGUUGGGGAUUCCAACCGGUCACUACCAGAAAACCGGAGAAAACCAACGGAAUUACCGACGGCCUUUUUCCGUCGGUAAUAAUUCCCGACGGAAAUAAUUGAUCCGUCUCAAAAUCUGUCGGUAUAUACCGACGGCCUAGAUCCGUCGGCGAAACGGUCGGUAUAUACCGACAGAAUAUUUCCAUCGGUAUAUACCAACCGUUUCUCCGAUGGGGUACACAGUUUGUCUGGAAAUAUGCAACGGCGUGGUGACGUCAGACUAUUUUACCGACGAAAUUACCGAGGGAUUCAAACUGAGAUAGUCGUACAGUGGCGUGGCACUGUCACCGACGGAAUCACCGACAGCUUCAUUCCGUUGGUGAUUCCAUCGGAAAAAACCAUUAUAUACCCACCCACCUGCCGACACUCUCUUCCUCUGUUUCUCCUUCUUCUUCUUUCCCAUCCCACCUCUCCCCUCCCAAACUGCAGCCAACCACCCAUCCCAACUCUCCACUAUUCUCAACACAAGCACUCGAGUUUCUUAUAUCUUGUACGUGGUCACAAUAUCCGUUUCUUGUAGAUUUUAUCAUUUUUUUGUAAGUAAAUCUAUCCUUUUUAGUUUUAAUAUUUAAAUGUUAAUUUUAUUGUUUUAGUAUAUGUAUUUUGUUAACGUUUGUACUUGUUUAAUUGUUAUUUGUCAAAGAAACUUGUAGUAUGAAUGUAUAAUUUUGUGGUUGUUAUAGUUUGUUUUAGAUUUUGUCAAAUUAUAUUUGUUUGUAAAUUGUUGAAAUUUUGUUUGAAUUACUCCAAAUUAAAUGUGUUGUGAUAUGAAAUAAAUAAUUAAUAGCUUGUUUAACGAGUCUUGUUUAAUUGUUAUCAAUUCUAUUUCGAAGUUGUGAUUUCUGUAAAUUUAUAUAUGUAUAAAUUUGUAUGUAUGAACGUUGAUAGUUGAUAAUUGAUAAUGAAUAUUUAACAUAAGUGUUGUUUUAGUUUGUUGGAUAAUGUCGGGGAAAACCAAUAUUUUUGUUAUGUUUUAUAGAGGUUCAAUAGAAGUCAUGGAUGACCGUUCAUGGAUGUAUCAAGACUCACCCCAAGGAUUGCGGAGGAUGGAUUAUUGUAACGGUGCCCAGGGUUUUAUUAAUUUUACAACAUCUAUUCCGAGGAAUUUUACUGAUGGUGGUAUUAAGUGUCCAUGCAGGAAGUGUAAAAAUUUAAAGUUUUUGCAUCAAGAAGUUGUAACGAUGCAUCUUCUAACCAAAGGGUUCAUGAAGGAUUACAUGUGUUGUUAUGCUCAUGGAGAACUAUUUGUUCUUGAUGAGAGCAUGGAAGAACAGGUGGUUGUGUCAACUUCUAGUGCUAGCAACAUGCAUGAAGUUGGAAAUGAGAACAGUAAUCCUUACAGGAAUAUGGUUAUGGAUGCAAUGAGAAUGAGUGAAGGUAAUGUCAGGGAAUGUCCAAUCAUAGAAGAAGAACCUAAUGCAGAUGCAGUAAGGUUUUUUGAUCUGUUGAGAGAUUCUGACGAACUAUUAUGGGAUGGCUGCAUGAACCACAGUAAAUUAUCAGCCGUAGCACAGGUGUUCACCAUCAAGUCAGAUCNNNNNNNNNNNNNNNNNNNNNNNNNNNNNNNNNNNNNNNNNNNNNNNNNNNNNNNNNNNNNNNNNNNNNNNNNNNNNNNNNNNNNNNNNNNNNNNNNNNNGGGCGAGAAGCAUUUUACCUGAAGGGAACAGGCUGAAAGAGAACUUCUAUGCUGCCAAGUCCAUGAUGAAACCCCUCGGGUUUAGGAUACCAGAAAAUUGAUAUAUGCCCUAACUUCUGCAUGUUAUACUACUUUGAAAAUGCUGAGAUGACCGAGUGCAUGACAUGCGGGCAUUCCCGUUACAAACCCAGAACUGGUAGAGGGAAGACUCUCGUGGCAUAUAAAAAACUUAGAUACUUCCCAAUCACACCUAGACUGCAGAGGUUAUUCAUGUCACCAAGGACUGCUGAGCAUAUGACAUGACACCAAUCACACCAUGCGGUUGAUGAAGUGAUGGUUCAUCCUUCUGACGGUGAAGCCUGGAAACACUUUAACAGUAUGAAUCCUCACUUUUCAGCUGAAUCAAGGAACGUGCAUCUUGGGUUGUGUAUAGACGGAUUCAACCCAUUCGGGUCAUUUGCUGCUCCUUAUUCUUGUUGGCCGGUCAUACUGACGGUUUAUAACUUGCCACCGGGGAUGUGUAUGAGGCCGGAGUUCAUGUUUUUAUUUAUGGUCAUACCAGGUCUGAGCAGUCCGGGGCGGAAUAUAGAUGUUUGUCUUCGUCCUUUGAUUGAUGAGUUGACGCAGUUGUGGUCCUCUAGAGCUUUGACUUAUGACAUUUCGAGGAAACAAAAUUUUGUUAUGAGAGCGGCUUUGAUGUGGACUAUCAAUGAUUUCCCAGCUUAUGGAAUGGUUUCUGGUUGGAGCACACAUGGAAAGCUAGCAUGUCCAUAUUGUAUGGAGAAUAACAAGGCAUUCACGCUAACAAAUGGGGGUAAAGCUUCUUUUUUUGACUAUCACUGUUGUUUCUUGCCACAUAACCACAGGUACAGAAAGAACAGAAAGGAUUUCUUUGUUGGCAGAGUUGAAAAGGAUGUUGCACCCCCGCGUCUUUCCGGUGAAGAAUUGUUUGAUGUUGUGUCAGAGUACAAUGACAUUGUGUUUGGUCUCCAAUCAGGUAAGCAGAAGUUUCCUGGUUUUGGUUUGACCUAUAAUUGGGUGAAGCGAAGUAUCUUUUGGGAGCUUCCUUAUUGGAAGACCAAUCUUCUCCUCCAUAACCUUGACGUCAUGCACAUUGAAAAGAACGUGUUUGAGAACAUUUUCAACACCGUCAUGGAUGCGAAAGGGAAGACAAAGGACAACAUCAAGGCUAGAUUGGAUGUAGCGCUGUUCUGUAACCGUAAAAAUAUGGAGUUGGUUUCUGAUGGGUCACGGGUCGCAAAACCAAGAGCAAGCUUCGUGCUAGAGAAAAACGCACAACUACUAGUCUACAAAUGGCUUAAGAGUCUGCGUUUCCCCGAUGGACAUGCCUCGAACAUAUCAUGGCUGGUUAAUACGGAGGAAUGCAGAUUUUAUGGAAUGAAAAGUCAUGACUGCCAUGUGUUUAUGCAAACACUUAUCCCAUUAGCUUUUCAUGAUUUGUUGCCAAAAGGGAUAUGGGAUGCACUAACGAAGAUCAGUCAUUUCUUCAGAGAUAUAUGCUUCAUUAAGUUGAAUGUUGAUCACAUUGAAAGGCUUGAAAAGAAUAUCGUCGAGACAGUAUGCAAACUUGAGAUGAUAUUCCCUCCAUCAUUUUUUGACUCAAUGGAGCAUCUACCCGUACAUUUACCGUUUGAGGUAAAAGUUGGAAGACUGGUCCAGUACAGAUGGAUGUAUCCAUUCGAGAGGUUAGAUAUUACAUGAGCUAUGUAAUUUAUAAUUAAAUGUUUUUAUUUUUAUUUUUAAUGUUUUUAAUUGAUAAUUUAUUAUAUAUAUAUAUAUAUAUAUAUAUAUAUAUAUAUAUAUAUAUAUAUAUGCAGGUACUUGUUCAAUCUUAAAAAAAGGUGAAGAACAAGGCGCAUGUUGAGGCGUCAAUAUGUGAGGCCUAUAUUGUUGAGGAGAUCUCAACAUUUGUCUCAUACUAUUUCGAACCUCAUUUGAGAACGAGGAUAAAUCGUGUUCCACGGCAUGAUGAUGGUGGUGAAGUGCCUUCAAGUGGGAACUUGUCAAUAUUCUCCAAUCCUGGACGACCCACACCUAAAAAUGCCGUGAGGGGAAGAUAUUUGUCUGAAAUAGAGUUCAGACAAGCACACAAUUAUGUCAUAUUUAACUGUGAUGAGCUAAGACAUUUUAUUAAGUAAGUAGAUGUUCGACUUAAACUUUGUCAAGAGUGUACUAUUUAUGUUUUGUGAUACCAUACACUCAUAUAAUUUGGAACAACCUUGCAGGCAACAUCGACGAUACUUACUGUCCAAUAACUCACAACUGACCGAAUCCCAGAUCUUUCAAUUACAAGAUGAACAAUUUGCCACAUGGUUUAGAACACAUGUAAGUCCUAUCACAAACUCAUUAUCUUUUGCAAUGUAAUUAAUUGUAGUCAAUGUUACAUAAUAUUCGUUUAUUGAUUAUUAUUGUAUUUAAUUUACAAGCUAGGUUUAUCAAAUGGGAGGUAGUGCUGCUAUUUCACUGUUUUUACUAUGCCUGGGCCCUGAAAGAAAAGUCAAGUGUUAUAACGGGUAUUUUGUCAAUGGAUAUGUCUUUCAUACUGAAGAAUACGGGCAUGGAAGAAAGACAUACAACAGCGGUAUUUGUAUCAAGGGAUCAACUUCUAGUGAGUUUGAAUUUGACUACUACGGUAGAUUGGAAGAGGUCAUCGAACUGCAAUAUCAUAGCGAGCAAAAUAGAGUGUUUUUAUUCAAAUGUUAUUGGUAUGACACAACUGACAGAGGAAUCAGAGUAGAUCCUCACUAUAGUCUCGUUGAAAUCAACUCAAAAGCUAGACACCGCAACGUAAAUGACGUCUUUGUUUUCGCAAAGCAAUGCCAACAAGUUUAUUACACAUACACCCCUUCCUUUAGAAAGGAUCGAUCAAGAGUUGAUUGGUUAUCCGUUUUAAAAACAAAACCCAAGGGUCGUGUCGAGAUUGUUCAGGAUGAGAACAAAGACAUAAGUGUGAUAGAUGAAGUCUUUCAAGCUAGUGAGUUGGUUGAACCAUACCGAGUUGCUCCGUCGAUUGACUUAUAAGAAAAUUCAAAUUUUCAUGUUUUCAACGAUAGUCUUGUUGAUGUUGACGCAGAGGAGUUGAAUGUUGUUCUGAGCUCUACUAGUGGAAAAAAGAACUUUAUUGAAGAAGAUGAUAACGAAAUUGAAGAGUGCGAUGAAGCUGAUGAUAACAAUUCAAUAGAGGACGAAGAUGAAAAUUCCGACUAACUAAACAUGUUCUAAAGCCUUAUUUUAUAAUGUAAUAAUUUGAAACAUGAAAUAUUUAUUCUUCUUUAAUGGUUAGCCCUUGUUAUUGUGUUGUGUGUGCUGUAAGAUUUCAAUUCAAGAUUUUGUGACAGGGUUACAUAAAAAAAUAUGAAAAAUUUAAGGUUUCACCGACGAGUACACCGACGGACUAUAACCUGUCGGUAUUUCACAGAGAGUUGAAAAACAUUUACGGGAUUGUGCCACUUUCACCGACAGUGUCACCGACAGACCAUACCCGUCGGUAUUUCAUAGAGUGUUGCAAAAAAAUUUACGGGAUUGUGCCAUAAUCACCGAUGGGUACACCGAGGGCAUUUCUGACGGACAAUACCGACAGAAUCACCGACGGAUUUACGCACAUCCCGAAGCCCACGCAUGUCAGACACGUGUCCGUCUGCACAAAUACCGAUGGAUUGACCGACGUCAAAUACCGACUAAUUUACGCACAUCCCGAAGCGCACGCAAGUCAGACACGUGUCCGUCUGCAUGAAUACCGACAGAUCGAAAUGUCUGGCGGGAUUUUUGAACUUUUUUGGUGCGUAUUUCAAUUAAUUUUCAUCGGUAUUACCGACGGAAUUUAAUGCCACCGACAAUAAUUAAUUUCCGUCGGUAAUACCGUCGGAAACAUUGCUAUAUAAACCCCCCCUCCCCCCAUUUGGUUCAUUUUCUUCUCUGCUUCCGUUUCUCUUCUUCUCCAUUUCUCUUCUCCUCUCAGUUUAUAUUUGGCUUUUGGAAGGGAUUUUAUUGUUUUGGUGGUAGUUUUAAAAGGUAUGUAUUCUUUUUUCUUUAUCUUUGUAUUUUUUUUAUUUUAAUUAUGAUUAUUGUUUUUGGUGUUCUUUGUUUUGUGUAUUGUUUGUAGAUAAAAUCUUAAAUUCAACACACUAUUAAUGUAAGCAUUUUUUAUUCCCAAAUUUAUUUUGAAUUGAUAUAGUGUUUUUUAGUUUUAUGUAUUGUUUGUUUUGUGUUUAUGUUAAAAAUGUUAAUUUAUAUUUAUAGAAUUACAUUUAAUUAGUUUAUUUUAAUUUAGGAUAUUAUUGUUUGUAUUGCUAUAAUUGUUAUUGUUGAAUUUAUGUUAAAAUGUUAAUUUAUAUAUAUAGAAUUACAUUUAAUUAGUUUAUUUUAAUUUAGGAUAUUAUUGUUUGUAUUGUUGUAAUUGUUAUUGUUGAAUUUAUGUUAAAAUUGUUAAUUUAUAAAUAUAGAAUUACAUUUAAUUAGUUUAUCUUAAUUUAGGAUAUUAUUGUUUGUAUUGCUAAAAUUGUUAUUGUUGAAUUUAUGUUAAAAUUAUUAAUUUAUAUAUAUAGAGUCUUGUCUCCUAAAACUUGAAAUGUAAUAUUAAUCUGUAAAUUUGAAUGUAUGACUUUAAUCUAAUGUUUAUCACUCUAAGUACCAAUUUAACAAUGAAUGUUCAUAGUUGAAAUUGAUUAUUUUACUUGAAUAUCAUUAUAUGAUGUUAUUGAAUAAGAUGUUUUGUGUUGAUGAUGAUGAGUUGGGUUGAGAUCCAGGAUGAUAUUGGAUCGGGAUGUGAAAUAAAAUUGGAAGUGUAAUAUGAUUUUGUCAAUAACUUGGGACCCCCCAGUAUAGGGGAGACUCUGGCGAAUUUUUUUAAAAUAAUCAAAGUUAAUUAUGUAAUUAUUCGUAUAAAUUUAUGUAGAUGCGUAGAAUGAAAUCUACAGCACGUCGUCAGAAGACAGUUGCAGCUAGUUCUUCUAGCAGUGAGGAGGACGUAUCUUUAGGUGCUGAUCACGGCGAGGAAUCUACGCCAACUUGUGAUGCUGCCUCUUCUAGCGCGGUUUCACAGCGUAGAAGCGAUGUGCCUUCACAACGGGGUCAAUUCACCCGCAAGUACCAGGCACAAUGGAAGGAUGACCUCUCAAUGUAAGUUUGUUUAGGUUUUAGUUUUUUUUAUAUAUAUACUUAUAACAUAAUUUAUGAACAACUAAUUAAUAUUAAUACUUUUAUUUAAUUUCAGGUUCACAAACAUUGAGGCUGCAAGGACUAUAACAUUGACGUUUAAAUCAUUGAUGGAGAUUCCAUUGUUUCAAUGGAGCCAGGUUUCCAGACAUCCUGAGUGGAAACCUAAUAUCGAUGCAUGGUUUAAGCGAUUUCAUGUCGGUGUUAAUUUUUAAUUUCCAGCUUAUUUUUAAUAAAUGAUUUUUAUAAUUUUAUAUCUUGUACUAUUUUUAUUUUAUAUGAAUUAUUUAUAUACACAGAACAAAUUUGAGUGGGAUAGGGUGAACAACAAUGUUGUGAGGAUGGUAUGGGAGAAUCACGCGGUAACUAGGUAAAAUCAAAAAUAAUAUUUAUUUUUGUUUUAUAAUUUUAUGUUUUAAAUUCUAAUUUGUUACUAUGAAAGUAGGUUGCGUGAUUUUUGGUAUGACACCCAAAAAAAAUCAAAAAGACAUGCGAGGGAUAAUGAUCUUGAAGGAUGGAAUGAGGUGGCAAUUUGGCAGGAAUUCAAACCGCCAUUCAUCUCGGGGGAAAUAUGGACGGCAUAUAUUGAGUACGUGACCUUAGAGCGGUUUUCACGACGCUCACAGUCCGGCGCCGACAACCAGAACCGGCAAAUUCAUGGUUCGGUGACCACGCAUACUGAUGAAUCCGUCCCAUUCAGCGCACAUGCAAAGCGGAUGGUAAAAUUAAUUUUAAUGAAAUAUAUCGUUAAUUAAUUUGUCAUUCCUUAUAAUAUAUUUAACUUUCAACCUAUUUUUUCCUUACAGGCUGCGUCUCUUGGACGUGAGCCGAGUCCAAUGGAGCUGUUUGUAGAGACGCAUGUGCGGAGUCAAUACCGCCAAAAGAGGGUGCAGCAGUUCGUGGACAACCGUGCUCAGCACUUUGUGGUAUGUUCGUUCAUUCAUUUUAUUUUGUAAGUUAUUAUUUUCUUGAAUUGCAUCUUGAAUUGCAUUUGAUGAUUUUUUUUAAAAUUUUCAAGAGACCUAUAAUAGCCGGUUGCGGGAGAGAUAUGGGGACAAUCCUUCGACCCAUCCAGAUUUCGAUCCAGAUUUGUGGAUGGAGGUGGGAUCGUCUGGUGGACCCGAUAAAAAUCGGGUCUACGGGCUCUCCAACACUACGACUGAAAACUUGUGUUCGGCUCGUAGUGUCUCAACCGUUGGGAGCUCUCCAUCAGUAUCGAGCACCCAGUCUGAGGAGUUCAUUGCCUUGAAACAACAAUAUCAACAACUCUCGAUGAAUUAUGAUGAGCUCCAUCAAAUAGUCAUGGAGAUGAGAUCAAAGAUGGGUGAUGAUACUUGUGCAGGGCCUUUUUGGUCGUACGGUCCCGGGAACAACCAGCCUCCUCCUCCUCCAGCUCCGCCGCUAUUCUAGUUUAAUUUUGUUUUUUAAACACAUUAAAUUUAUAAUGAAUAUUUGGAUGAAUAUUAUUUAACAUUAUUUUUAUAUUUUUAAUGUUUAAUCCAAUUUUAUUUCUUUAUUAGAGUUUUCAUAUUAAUAAAUUAUUUAUAUAUAUAUAUUUUACAUAUAUGCCGACGGCUGUACCGACGAAUAAUAUCUGUCGGUGAUUCAUAGAGAGUUGCCAAACAAUUACCAGCCAUGCCAUAAUGACUGACGGACAUAUUCCGUCAGUGAUCACAAUCAGACGGAUUUACCGACGGAUAAUAUCCGUUGGUUUUUCACAGAGAGUUGCCACACAGUUACCACCGAUGCCAUAUUUACCGAUGGAUAAUCCGUCGGUAAUUACCGUUGGAGUUUCAGACGGAUUUAUUCCAUCGGUAAUGUUCCCGCGGGAAACUUUUUUUUUGGCGCGCACGUAUCCGUCUGUAAGACCGUCGGUGUUCCGUUGGUGGGCGGUUAUUUUUUUGUGACAGAAUUAACAACGCAAAGGGUAGUUACCGACGACUAUUAUACCGACGAACGUGUUCCGUCGGAGAGGCCUUCGGUCAUUAUUUCACCGACGGCAUUAAUUCCUGUUACCGACGGAAUAAGUCCGUCGGUAAAACUGUUUAAUGAUGUAGUGGGUAAUGUUCCGAUAUUUGCCCGUUGGAGGCUAAGCAUACUGACACAAUAUUUACAUGGUUCGACAAAACCGCCUACAUCCACGGGAGAGGUUCAUUUUAUUAGAGAUAGAGAAAGGAUACAAUAAAUACAUGGAGGAGGAGGAUUACAUCCACUAUACUCUACUCCCAGCUCUUACACACUGCUGUUGCAGCUGCUGCCAUUGCACAAGCUUGCAUUUUGCAGCUUUUCCAAGCUUACCAUUUUGAGAGUGUCUUCAACACAACAUUCCCCUUCGAGCGUAUCAAUCAUGCUCGGUCCGGAAUGAUUUUUCAAGCCUUACACCAAGGCUUACAACACCCCCUCAAAUGAAUAUUCCUAAGUGCGACAGUCAUUGAGUAUUUCAAUGUGAUCACAAGCUCACCACUCUUCCAAGAGUCUACUCAUCCAGGAGUUGCGCCUGCCCUCUGUUCCACCCUUGGAACCACGCCUUACUUCUCCGUGAGUCUCUCGCUCUUAGUCCUAAGAGUCCAGGUAGCUCUCCACCUUUAACCAUGUGGGCAGCCCAUUAAAGGUUGAUCCAUAUAUGUCUUUAUACUCUGAGUAUUACAAUGCCAUUACCGAGCUCACCACCUUGACAAGAGUCAACUUGUUCCCGGAACCUGCGCAUGCCCUCUGCUCCUUCAUAGCAGCCACGUCUUAAUGCUCCACAAGUCACCCACUUAUUGUCCAAGGCAAAUGUCUUCUAGCUCAUUAAUCUUUAGCAUGAGGGCAAUAUCCAUGAAAGUUAAUCCUGCAUUUGUCUUCAUACUCAUCAUAACCACUUCAUUGGCUAUACACCUGCCCACUCAUAUCUAGCCAUCAUAUUGGCUCUGGGGUGUUCUGAACUGGGCUCAUAUCAUGGCCUUCACACCUUCUCCUGAGGUGUCUCCGCUCGUCGUCAUGCGGCGGUCUGAACUAGGGCUCCUAUCACGGCCCUUACACACCUUCCAUCUAAGGUGUCUUCGCCUUUCAUAGGCGGUCGCAUCCUCCUUCAGCUGAGAUGCUUCAAAGUGGCUCCAAAAAUUCUCUACCACCAUGUGUACUAUGGGAGAUCACUGCCACUGAUUACAUAGAAAGAGAAAGUUGUGGUAUACUCCUUGCAAUCCUCCAUCUCGAUUUCUAUGUUUGGAGCUUCUGUGCCUUUCUGCUUGACAGCUCCACCUACACCAACUCUUUUUGGUGUCUUUACCUUUCAAUAUAGGCGGUCGCCUUAGUGGUGGGGUAUUGCCACAAAAUGGCAAUAUCCUAACACCGUCUCCCAGAUGUCAACCGGAAUAAAGAGUUUACUUCUAAUUUUCCAGUUAUACCACUUUUUCAUGAGGCCAGUCUCGACCAUUCAUGACCGUGAAGUGAUUAGUACUUAAAAGUGCAUUCUCAUUAACGCUUUAUAUCAUCGUAUUGCACUAAAGUAUCGUUAAAUUCCCUAAUUAAAGCAUGUUUUAUAAUAACAGGUAUGAUAAUAUAAUAUAUCUUUAAUUUAUGAUAAAUGCUUAUUUUGAAUGCAGGUAUAUCUCACAAUUUAAAAGAUUGAUUAAUGUGAUUAACUAUUAAAAGUGAAGAGACAAAAAGAGGACUAGGCUAAGAGAAGAGAUGUUGGUUCAAUUCCAAACUAGAACACCAUUCGGUUAUUUGAUCAUAACUGGAGUUGUAGAACUCGGAUUUAGGUCCACUUUAUAUGGAUGGAAAGAUAAGACAUAGACCUAAAACUUUCAUAAGAGUUCAAGACUCAAUUCUGCCGUUUUCAAGUUGAAAUCUUAGCAACAACGGAGAAGUCGGAACCUGUCCUGCAGCUCAAACACUGUUCGGUUUUCAGCUCAUAUCUUGAGUUCUAGAAGUCCAAAUGAGCUCUGGUUUUUUUUGUUGGAAAGCUGAGACAAUUGCCCACAGUUUUCAUGGAACAAAAGGCUCAAAUUCUGAUGUUAGCAAUAAUGUUUUGGUCAGCCAACAAUAUCAAAAAUCUGCCAACAAUAUCAAGAAACAGCAGCCAACAAUAUCAAAAAUCUGCCAACAAUAUCAAGAACCAGCAGCCAACAAUGUCAAAAACCAGCCACCAAAUCAAUGGUUUCCUACCAAUCAAUAGUUCUGAAUCUUAGCCUAUAAAAGGAGGCAUUUGCCAUGUAUUUAGUCAUAUUAUUUUUCAGAUCAAAAUCAUCUUCUUGCUUUCUCUCUUUAUAUCUUUGUAAUGUUCAAGUUUUCUUUCAUGCUAUAUUAAUCUCUUGUUUAUGCUUUUUCAUUUCCUUUCCUAUACUUAGUUAACUUAUAUCAUGUUUAUGUUCUUAUGUUGUUUAUUUAUGUUUUUCUUUUUCAUUAUGUUUAGCUAAGUUAAUUAUGUCAAGGUGAAAAGGUUUUACUAAUGGUGUUAGAAUAGGUAUAAUAUAAACUCAACAUGGACUUUAAUGUUUAUAUCCAAGAAAGUUUGUUAUUAACUUGUUUUAUCUUUUUAUCUUACUAAUUCUUAAUACCUUGCUUGUUAAAUGGUUAAUCUAGAUUUGUGUUGUAUAACACUUGGUACAUCAAAUGCUUGAUCCUUCAUAGUUUUCGGUCGACAUCGUUAUUAUGAUAGGAACUUGAUUUGUUGUUAACAUAAGCUAGCAACAUGAAUGCCUGAUGAUAUUUAUAAGUAUGGUGUUACUUGAAUAGGAUAAUUAAUAUGAUCAUGUUAAUACUUUAUAAUGAGCCAUUAACGAUAAAUCAUCCGAUUGGAACCUCCUUUGUGUGUGGUUUCUAAUUGAGUAAUAAAAAAAGUUUAUAUUAUAUUUAUUUGAAAUACCAUUAGUGGAUCCUUUAACCUUGACAUCUGUUUUAUCCUUAUUUAAUCUUUUCAUCAUUAUUACAUCUCAAACUUCUCUUCAACAUCAAUAUCAUUUUAUUGUUUGUAAUUUAUAUAAUUCACCUCCCUGUGGUUCGACCCCGGUCUUGCCGGGUUAUUUAUUACUUUGACACUCCUGCACUUGGGAUAAGACAUCAACUCUUUGAUCGUGUCAUGAAGCCAAUGUCCGAUGUGAAGGAAAUACUAGUAUUUAAUUUUGAUGCUCUAUUUAUAGUUAGAUAAACAUCACCAAUCAGGACACCAGCAAAAGGCUGGUGAAGGGUUAAUCCUAUUUGUCUCCCGGUACAGUAUAACAGACGCCAUUUUCCUGGAAGCAACUCCAACCAGUUCUGCACAUUGAAGUAAAGCAGAAAUUUCAAUAUUGAGUAGCCUUUGAGAAUAACAAGGCCUCGAUCUCGAGCUCGUUGGAGAUGGAUGGUAAAAGCAUAAUCAAUCAAUAAAAUGUUUCAUGUUCUACCAGAAGGAAGAAUCCAAAGAAUAUUGGCUGAUGAAGAAGUACAACAGCUAAAGAACCAAAUAAGUUUCUAGCUUCUUUUUCUUUAUAUUGUGUCAAUGCAUUUAGCAGUUAGACCAUUUCACAUAAAGUGUUCGCGUAACGAAACGAGAGAGUAAAUGGAAAAGAACAAGUGACUAUAAAUUAGAAGCCUUUGAAAGUAAAGGUGAUGAUACAAGUUAUAAUAUAUUUGAGGCAACUAGACAUAGAUCCCAUAUGACUCUUUGGAGAGAGCAAAAGAAUUAAUGAAUCUAUAAAAGCUACGAACAAAGUAGAUAAUUGCUAACCUUUGGCCUUGAAUGAGCAUUCAGCAUCUCCAUCAAUUCGAUAAAAUAGGAAAGCCUAUUACGCUAUCACAUCAAAAUCACCAGUCAGUUUACAUUGUCAAUGUAAUGUCAUUGCGAGCUAUAAACCAACACCACGUAUAUAAUGAGUUUACAUGCAAACAUUUAGUAGUUCGAAUAGAAAUAGAAGCACACUAAGAUAUCUUUCAAAUAACAGGAAAUUAAUUUGUAACACUAAUUGUUCCAUCUCAUACUUGUGCUUCCCUAGAAAAAUAGGGUACUUUGUAAGUUCACAAAGACUCUGAUAAAUGAUCAAGAUGCAUGGUUGCGCUUCUCUAUGCUCAGAACAUGAAACUUUCAAAAUUUCCAGCUAAUCACUCAAGGCAAAAAUUAAUGGAUCCAUGAGUUCCCGCAGUACCAUUUUUGCCAUCAUAAAUCCUACACAUCUUUUCAACAUGGAUGAAACAGAAUUCAGUACAUCCCGCAGCACUACCUGGAUACACUUUUAGGUCUAUCAAUCUAUUCAUACCUCAUGUCAAAUGCAAUCAUCAUCUGCCGUCUGUCCAUGUUGUUGUCCAGUGUGCUACUAUUUGGACCAUCCUCGUAAAAGUCAGCAGCAUUCUCUAGUAUCCCUACCUGAAAAGUUAUAAUUUCAGAAGUUUCACAAAGUAAGACAUCAAUGCAAGAAAGAAACCACAUGUUACACAACUUAAUCAAUGAAGUAGUGCUUCAAAGCCUUUAGAUUAAAGCAUGGAGGAAAAAUAACUUUUUUUUGCUGUUAUCGACGAUUUCUACCUAUGAAUCACCCAUAUAGAUAUUAAUCAGAUAAGUUUUUGAAAGGAGUAACAAAAUGGCUCCCUCCUUUACCUCGUCGAUCUAGUUCAAAAAUGUUAUUUGAAGUGUCUAAUUUUACAGAGGAACAUAUUAGAAGUUCAUCUCAUAAUGACAAAAUUCCAGGCUUUGGUAUUAAACACAAUUGGGUGAAGAAAAGCAUUUUCUGCGAGCUUCCAUAUUGGCAUACAAAUUUGAUUCGUCAUAAUCUUGAUAUCAUGCACAUUGAAAAAAAUUUCUUUGAUAAUAUUUUUUAUACAGUAAUGGAUUGUCCUGAUAGAAGCAAGGACAAUGUAAAGGCUAGGUUGGAUAUUCAGUUGUAUUGUAAGAAGUCAAACUUACAUUUGCAACAUGAUGCAAGUGGUCGGGUUUACAAACCUAAAGGCACUUAUUAUCUCUUCAAGAAACAACAACAAGAAGUGUUGUCAUGGAUGAAAGAAUUGUCCUUUCCUUAUGGUUAUGCUUCAAACAUCUCAAGGUGUGUAAAAGAGGCACAAUGUAAGGUUUCAGGCAUGAAAAGUCAUGAUUGUCAUGUUUUUAUGCAAAGACUUCUUCCAAUUGCUUUUCGACCUUACUUGCCUAAGCCAUUGUGGGAGUCAUUAACUGAAUUGUUAGUAUUUUUUCGGGACAUUAGUGGUACAAGUUUAAAUGUCCAACACAUGGAGAUGUUGCAGAUGAAUAUCAUUGAAAUUAUUUGCAAACUUGAAAGGAUUUUUCCUCCAUCCUUCUUUGACUCUAUGAAACACUUGACAAUACAUUUACCUUAUAAGGCAAAAGUCGGAGAACCCAUUCAAUAUCGAUGGAUGUAUCCAUUUGAACGAUAUGUUUUCAUGUCAUAUUAUUUUUUAUUCUUUUCCAUUUUUUCUUAAACUAAUUUAUAUCAAUGAUAUAUGUAUAUGUUUUAUUUGAAGAAAAAAGUGACCAAUAAAGCUAAAGUUGAGGGUUCCAUAUGUGAAGCAUAUUUGAUUGAUGAAAUUACCAAUUUUGCAUCUUAGUAUUUUGGUGAUGACGUGCAAAUAAUAUGGAAUCGAGUUCCAAAGAAUGAUGACGGUGGCCUUAAAAGUCUUGAUGGACAACUUUCAAUUUUUUCUUACCCGGGGAAAAAAUUGUCCAGAAGAUCGUAUAAAAGACAAUUGUCACAUGCUCGAAUGAAAAUUGCACAUAACUAUAUUUGUUUCAACUGUGAAGAAUUGAAGCCCUAUUUAGAGUAAGUAUGAAAUAUUUUUUUAUACUUUAUUCUUAAUAAUUUAAUUUAAAAAAUAAAUUGUUUAUAAUUUAGACAAUGUCAUCAAGAGCUAAAGUCACAACAACCACAUACGAGCAAUGCUGAAAUAGAAACAUUAUGCGAGGAGAUAUUUCUAAUUUGGUUAAAAAAUAAUGAAGUAGUUUUAUAUAAUGAUUUUUUUAAUGCAAUUUUAUUCUUUUAAGAAAUUAUUUUAUUUUUGAAAAAAAAUAUUUAUUAUGGUGUUAAAUGUUAUGGUAGGUUGAAUAUCAAUCAAAUGGAAUUGGGAAUCAAAUCUUUGCACUUGCUAUGGACCCUUCAAAUUUAGUUAAAUGUUAUAAUGGGUAUUAUGUGAAUGGUUUCAAAUUUCACACUCAAAGUUAUGGUCGAUUUAAAAAGACGAUGAAUAGCAGGGUUUGUGUGAAAGGAAGUUGUUAUGAUGACAAUGAAUGUGACUAUUAUGGAAUGCUUGAAAAAGUUGUUCAGCUAAAAUAUUUGGGGAGUAAGUGCAAAGUAUUCAUGUUUAAAUGCCAUUGGUAUGAUACAAGAAGAGGAAUUAUAAAGAAUCGUUCAAAUGGUUUGGUUGAAAUCAAGCAUACUUCUCGACUUAUAUGGAAAUGAAGAUUUUAUGCUAGCAUUACAAUGUCAACAAGUCUACUAUACAUGUCCACCUUAUAAUAAAUCUUCUGAAUGGUGGGAAAUAAUUAAGACAACUACUAGAAGUCGCUAUAAUGUUGACAUGGGUGAAUUUAUUGAAGAUGAUAACAAUAUGAGAUCAUUUGAUGUCACUCAAUCAGAUGACUCAACCAUGUCGUGUCCUUCCUACUCAAACACUUGAUGAUCCAAAUAUAGUUGUUGAAGCAUCAUAUUAUACAGAAAUCAACCAUUGUGAAUUGCUUCAGUUACAGGCAAAUUCGGUAGAAGUUGAAAGGGCUUCAGAUGAAGAAUUUGAUGAUGAUGUUAAUGGUGAUUACAAUGAUGAUGAUGUGGUUACGAGUGAUGAUAAUGAUGAGCAACAUGAUGAUGAUAUAUUGUAAAAUUUAUUUUUUAUUUAUUGUAUUUGGACUUAUUUUUAAGUGAUGUAAGUUAUAUUUGUAUUAAUGGUAUUAAUUAAAAAUAAUUAUUUUGUUCAUUUUUAUUUUCUUAUUGUAUUAAUUAGUUCAUAUUCAAUAAUUAAAAAUAAUGCAGUUAUAUUUAUUCUAUAAUUUUGUUCAUUAAUGUUAAUUUUUUAUUCUAUUUCAGGUAUCUAGCAUGCCUCGACGUGGUUCUAUAUUAGGUUCCCAGAGUAAUAAGACCACUUCAUCUAGAUCAAAUGGCCCUUCAUCUGGGCCGAAUAGCCAAGCAUCCAUUUCUCAUCAACCUAUUCAUCAUGAGUUGUAUGGUUGCUAUAAUCCUACUUGGAAUGCACAUCAUACUCGGCAAGAUUAUGGGCAGAGGGAUGAUUAUCAAUCGUACAAGGGUUUUCACUUUCAAGAUUUACUUCAAACUCAAGAAGGUUUCCCUCAAGAUCACCCAUAUACUUUUGGAGGAUAUAAUGUUGAUGGGGGUUAUUAUGAUUGGAGGGGCAAGGAUGUUAGGAGAGGUGAGAGAGUUGAAGAAGAUAGAGGAGAACAAUAUGAGAGAGUAGAUAGUGAUAAUGAUGAAGAUGAGGGAGAUGAUUGUAAUGUUAGAGAUUCAGAGGAUCGAGAUGGCAUCCCAUCAAUCCAUAGUUCAACAUCUUCUCCAUUGCAUCAUGAGCAACGGGUUCAAAAGAAAGGUUUUGACACAUAUAAGGAUCCAAUUACAAAAAAAAAAAAAAAACUUCAUUUAUAUGGAACAACAGAGUAAGUUAAAAUUUAUAAGGUUAUUGUGUUUUAUAAUUAUUUUUUAAGCUUUAUUAAUUUAAUGAAUCUUUGUUAUUUUUUUAAGCUUCAAUAACUCAUCAUGUGGGCAUGAGAUCGGACUUAUUUUGAGGUCAAAUUUUAAAGGACCAUGGUAUAAUUGGGAAAAAGUUGGUCCAACUUAUAGGGAUGAACUCUUUAAAGAGUUUAAGGUAUGAGAUUAUAUAUUUUUAUUUUAGACAUAGUUAUGUUGACUUAUUAAUUAAUAUUAUGAGACUUGAAUAUAUUAAUAAAUAUACGUAUUGAGAGAUUGUUUGAUGGAUGGAAUGUGAUCUAGGAUGAUUGGAUCAAGAUAGGAGUUGUAAUGACAUAUAAUAGAGGUGUUGUCGAUAACUUGGUAUCAAUAAAAAUAGAUGAGACUCUGCUGAAAUUUAAAAAAAAAAAUCCAUAAUUUUAGACAUAGUAUUCAAUACUUGACAUUAGUAUAGAAAUGUUUUAGAUUUCAUGAUAUUAUAUUUGAGGAUGUUACAUUCUUUUUUUCUAUGCACACCAUAUCUUAGAUGCGAGUAUUAUUUUUGUAAAAAAUAGUUUUUUUAUGGAAGUGAAGACCAAAAUGAAGUACGAACUUAUCUUAGAUGCAAGGAGUAUUAUUAUAGUAAAAAAUGCAAGGUUAGAACAUGUCAUGUUAUUAUGAUAUAAGACAAAUUAAUUCUAUUUUAGGAAUAUAUUAAGAAAUGGUAAGGUAUAUACAAAAGAAAUAUUAUAAUAAUUAGAAUAUAAGAAAUUAAAUUCUAUUUUAUGAUGUAGUUAAGAAGUUUUUAUUUUAUCAAUAAUUUUUGUUCAUCUUUUUUACUAUUGAUUGUGUGAUUGUAAUUAUAUAGGCUAGUUAACAGCUAUGUUGAGAUUUGUUUAUAUAUAUAUAUUUUCUGAGGAUGAUGAACCAAUUGUUCGUAAGAUUUAGGAAGAUAAGAGUAGAAUUGCUUUGAACCAACAGUUGACACGAGCUCGUAAAAGAGGUAUGUCUGAUAGAAAUACCACAAAUAUUAUAGAUUGCAUUAAUAAAGGUCCAAUUUGGAUACACAAUGACGUUUGGAAUCAAAUGAUUAAAGAAAUUUGGUCCACCAAAGAAUUUCAAAAGAGAUCAAAAUCUGCAAGAAAUAAUCGGCUAACUGAAACGAAUGGUAAAUUAAGCACUCAUCCUGGAGGUACGGUGUCAAUUGCAUCAUACUGAGCUAGCAUGGUGAGGAGUGUUUAUAUUUGUUAUAAUGGACUUAAAAUUUUUAUAUUUAUAUUUUCUAAUAUUUUUUGUUUGUUGAUAGCAAGAAAAAACAGAUGGAAAAGAACCUCUAUGGGAUUAUGUGUUUUCAGUGUUGCAUCAGAGUGCCAAGCAGCCUGAAACAUUCAUAGAUAACAAGUCUAAAAAAGUUGUUGUAAGUAUUUUUUUUAAUGCAAUUUAAUUAUUAUUUAAAAUUUAAAUGAAUUUAUUAUUAUAUUUAAUUUUAUUGUAGGAGAAUUACUAAAAGAGAUGAUUUCAAGAUAUGGAACUGAUCAGGAAAAUCAUCCUUCAUUUGAUAGAGCAGCUUGGUGUGUGGCUAUAAGAGGAGUUACAAAGGGUAGAGUAUAUGGUGCACCUGGUAUGCCGAAAUCCAUGGUUAUUACGAGUGCUUCAUCACAAUCCUAUACGAUGGAGUCAACACAUUUAAGCUCAUCAAUUCAGACAUUGAAAGAGUAAAUAAAGGAAAAAGAUGGUCAUAUUUUAUCAUUACAACUGGAGAUGACCUCAAUCAAAAAAUUUCUUAGUAAUAUGGGAUACCAAGCUUGGGCAUCAAAUAUGGACCAAGGUAUGUCGGCACCUAUGACUUCAUCUAUGCCGUCACAUGUGGCAGAUGACAACACAUAUGUAUCCCCUGUCUAAUCCAGUAUAUUGACCUAGGCCUUGACCACCAUAUACCGGUCCCACCUUAUGAUAGUCAGCAUUGUUUUGGUUUGUUUCCACCACCACCCCAAUCACCACCUUUAUGAUAGAACAUAUUUAUUAAAUUGUGACUUAUCUAUUUUGAUGUAAGUUUAACGAGAUUUAGAAAUUUAUUAUAAAAUUUAUUUUUAUUUGAGUUAUUAUUUUUUAUAAAAUAAUUUCUAGUAUUAAUUUAUGUUCUUUAUAUAUUUAUCUAUAAUUUUUGAAAUAUCCACAAAUAAUUAAAAAAUAUUCAAUAGAUGGGAAAAAUAAUUUAAAAAAUUCGGACAAAUCAGCAACGGAUCAACAACAAAGUUUCCAUUACUGAUCUGCAAAGGAUCAGCAACGCAAUAUCCGUUGCUGAUCAGCAAUGGUGAUUAACAAUGGAAUAUCCGUUGCUGAUUUAUACAAUCAGCAACCGAAUUUCAGCAACGGAUAAAUCAUUGCUGAACAAAUCAGCAACUGAUAAUCCGUUGUUAAAAAAUCAGCAUUUAUUAUUUGCAUCUAAUAUUAUCCAUUGCAGAUUUUUAUUAGCAAUAUAUUUUAGUUUUAUCUGCAAGUAACUAGUUAGUUGCUAAUAGGCUACUUUUUUAGCAGUGAACAUUCUCCAGCCUCAACUCUGUAUACGCAAGUCCAUGACUGUGCAAGUAUUUCACCUUAAGGAAGCAAAACAAACACCUUGAUAACCAUGGAAAGCCAGAAUUCAAAUCAAAUUCUAACAUCACCACUUAUGACUCCCAAUCAAAUAUGAUCUCUACCUAAAAUAGACCUCCAGUUGUUCCAGCUGUAUAUCUCACCAUGAUUCUCUCUUAAUUGUAAUCGUUGUGAAUUCCUUUAGUUUAGCCAAAUAUAUUUCUGUCAUAAUUAUCAAUCCCUACAAUUGAGGGAAUGCUAUGUAAUCUUUAUCAAUAUAUAUACUUCACGAGAAUCACCACAGGGUGUGAUCUGAAACCCAAUACACUUGUUAUCUAUAUUCUCCUUCAUGGUAUCAAAGCCAUACGUCUAACAACUAUACACAUAUUUUUUUCUUUAUCUCUCCAUGGAAGCCAUCAAUUCCUCUGCUGGUGUUGUAGUUCCCAGCCAUUCCGGGUUCAUGUCUAUCAAACUUGACAGAACCAACUAUCCAUUAUGGCUUGCUCAAAUUGUUCCGAUUCUAAAAAGCAAAAAUUUGAUGGGAUUGUCACAGGUACAAAUCCUUGCCCGCCAGAAUUCAAAUCAAAUAUUGACGACACCGUAACAGCUGAAGUGGAUCCUAGGUACACUACCUGGCAUCAACAGGACCAGAUGAUUCUUAGUUGGAUCAACAACUCUCUUUCUCCAACUGUACUGUCUACAGUGGCUCGAUUCAUAUCAUCAUAAGCUACAUGGUCCUCACUUGAGAAGAGAUAUGCUUCUCAGUCGAAAAAUCGAAUUUUGCAGCUCUGAUAUGACUUACUCACUGUGAAAGGGGAAGGUCUUCCCAUCUCAGAUUUUAUGGACAAGAUAAAUCAGAUUGCUGAUAAUCUUGCCUUAGCAGGAAAACCAGUUGACAAUGAUGAACUUGUCAACAUAAUACUGAACAAUGUCAGCCCGGCAUAUGAAGUUACAGUCAGCUCUACAUAAGCCCGUGACACUUCUAUAUCCUAUGAUGAUCUUAUUGCCUUAUUGCUUAAUGUAGAGAUGAGGCUCAAGGCGCAACAAACACCAUCUCUUAAGACAAGUCCCAUUGCCAUGUACACACCUAAAGCUACAUAAAGCAACAACCGUGAUCGUAAUUCUGUGCACCACCAUGGAUCCAAUAUGCGAGGCAGGGGACCAUCUGGUUUCCGUCGGUAUCAAAAUUGGUCCCAACCACAAUCAGGUUCAGUGUCUUUUGGUAACUCUGGUCCUAUGCCUUCACGUCCUCCAUGUCAAAUUUGUAAUCACAGUGGGCAUAGUGCCCUUGAUUGCUAUCAACGCAUGAACCAUGCGUAUGAAAGCAGGAUCCCAACUCAGAAACUUAUGGCUAUGGCUGCUAUUGCCUCUUCUAACAUUCCUUCAUCUACAUGGAUUUCAGAUUCUGGUGCCUCAAACCAUAUUACUUCUGAUCUUACAAAUUUAGCCAUUCACAAUGAAUAUCAGAGAAAAGAUCAUGUUGUUGUGGGUAAUGGUGCAGGUUUGACUAUUGCUCAUACUGGCUCUAGUAAAUUCACUUGUGGUUCCUCAACCUUUGCUUCGAAAAAUAUUUUGCAUUGUCCUUCCAUUGCUGCUAAUCUUUUGUCAAUAUAUCAAUUCACACGGGAUAAUAACUAUUACUUUGUUUUUUAUUCUGAUUGUUUCUAUAUGAAGGAUGUAAAAACGGGGAAGACGCUUUUCCGUGGGAAGAGUGAACAUGGUCUCUAUCCCUUUCGCAUUCAUACUCAAAUCUCUACAAAAUCAGGUCGUCCCUUUGCAUUGGUUGGUGUUCGUGUUAGCGUCCCAAUUUGGCAUUCUCGGUUGGGUCAUCCUGCUAAUAACACUUUGUCACAUCUUAUUUCAAAUAAAUGUCUUCUCAUGCAUGGUAAUAAUUCUCUUCCAUUUUGUAAUUCAUGUCCUUUGGGUAAAAGUACUAAGUUACCUUUUCAAUUGUCGGAUUCCAUAUCAAAAUUCCUUUUGGAAUUAAUUCACUCAGAUGUUUGGACUUCUCCUAUUACUUCAAUCAAAGGAUCAAAAUAUUAUGUUUUAUUUGUGGAUGAUUUUUCACGAUACUCAUGGAUCUUUCCAAUGCAAUAUAAACAUGAAGUGUUUGAUAUCUUCCUCAAAUUUAAACUACAUGUUGAAAAUCUCUUUUCAUCCAAAAUAAAAAUGUUUCAAUCUGAUGGUGGGAGUGAAUAUACAAACAGAAAGUUUCAAAACUAUUUGGCUCAUAAUGGUAUUGGAUUCCGCUCCUCUUGUCCAGGUCAUCCCGAACAAAAUGGGGUCGCAGAAAGAAAACAUUGUCACAUUGUUGACACUGGGCUCACACUUCUUGCCCAUGCUCAUAUGUCAUCAAAUUAUUGGGUAGAUGCAUUUCAAACUGCAUUAUACUUAAUAAAUCGUCUGCCAACUCGUGUUUUACAGUAUCUCAGUCCAUAUGAAAAAUUAUUUCACAAAUCUCCCUCAUAUGAUACUUUUCGUGUUUUUGGAUGUGCAUGUUUUCCUUAUUUACGACCUUACAAUACAAAUAAAUUACAAUUUCAUUCCAAGCGAUGUGUUUUUUUAGGGUACUCUCUUAACCAUCAAGGAUACCGCUGUCUUGAUCAAAGUACAUGUCGUAUUUAUUUGUCCCGUCAUGUUAUUUUUGAUGAGUUAUCAUUUCCAUUCCAAGAGACCACUAACACUCUUUAUGCAGAGACGACUUCACUAGAUUUCAUUCACCACUAGAGAUAGUUACUGAACCUUUGCCCCAUAUACCAUCAGCUUCUAUUGGCUCUCCAGACCCACCUACACAAAACCCACCCAAUGUUCCUCUUACAUCCAUCACACCAAGCACAAAUAUCCUCAUCACUCAUUUUAUCAUUACAGAACCUACCCAACCAAACACUACUCCAAUUCCCAAUCCUAUCAUUACUGAAACUUCUUCCCCAACCACUAAUCCCCACCUUAUGGUUACUAGGAGUCGAGCUGGAGUCUCUAAACCUAAUCCAAAGUAUGCAUUGACUGUCACUUAUGAUCCCACUCUUCUAGAACCCACAUGUUAUACUCAAGCUGUAAAAUCUGAGGAAUGGCGUAAAACAAUGGGUGCUGAGUUUAAUGCUUUGCAACAAAGCGGUACUUGGUCAUUGGUACAACCUACUUCGAAUAUGAAUAUUCUACCUAACAAAUGGGUGUUCAAAAUUAAAAAGCGUUCGGAUGGCACUAUUGAACGCUACAAGGCCCGCCUAGUGGCCAAUGGAUUUCACCAACAAGAGGGCAUUGAUUAUACAGAAACUUUUAGUCUGGUUGUGAAGCAUUCCACUAUUCGCAUUAUACUUGCUUUAGCAGUCAAUCACAAAUGGCCAAUUCGAUAAUUGGAUAUUCAAAAUGCGUUUCUACAUGGGAUCUUAUCAGAGGAAGUUUAUAUGAGACAACCUUCGGGCUUCAUUGAUCCAAACUAUCCUAAUCAUGUUUGCAAACUUCAUAAGUCACUUUAUGGUUUAAAACAAGCACCACGUCAAUGGUUUACAAGAUUUUAUGAUUAUUUAGAGGAACUUGGGUUCUGUGAGUCCAAAGCAGAUUAUUCUCUAUUCACAUUUCAUAAGGGUGAUUUGCUCAUUAUUCUGCUUAUAUAUGUUGAUGACAUUUUAAUUAGAGGCACUAGCUCUUCUUAUAUUUUUAGUCUUAUUCAGAAACUAGGCAGAUUGUUCUCUAUGAAAGAUUUGGGACCACCCCACUAUUUCUUUGGUCUAGAGGCGGUAUACAGCACAACUGGCUUGCAUCUCACUCAAACCAAAUACACUAUGGAUUUAUUGUUUCGCACAAAGUUUCAGGAUGUCAAGCCAAUCUCUUCUCCUGCUAAUGCUGGUAAGAAACUCAGUCUCUAUGAUGGAGACCCUCUUUCGGAUCACAGAAUUUCGAAGUGUUGUUGGCGCCCUACAAUACUUGACACUGACUCGUCCAGAUAUAUGCUUUGCUGUUAAUCAAGUGUGUCAAUUUCUACAUCAACCAACAACACAUCAUUGGACUGUUGUGAAACAUAUACUGUGUUAUUUAAAGGACACUCCCGACCAUGGGCUCUUAUACCAACCCGGCUCUUUAAUGUUGGAAGCUUACUCUGAUGCAGAUUAUGCAUGUUGCCCAGAUGAUCGUCACUCUACAGGUGGCUAUUGUGUUUAUCUUGGUCAUAAUCCCAUCUCUUGGAGUGCCAAAAAGCAGUGUACUGUAUCAAGAUCAAGCACUGAAGCUGAAUACCGUCAACUAGCCUACACUGCAGCUGAACUCUCAUGGAUUAGAUCCUUAUUUAAAGACUUGGGAGUACGUCUUUCAACUCCUCACAUUUGGUGUGACAAUAUCAACUCCAUAUCAUUGGCAUCAAACCCGGUCUUCCAUGCUAGAACCAAACAUUUAAAAGUGGACUAUCAUUAUGUCCGUGACAAAGUGGUACGUAAGGAACUCGAGGUCUGCUAUAUCUCCAAUACAGAUCAAGUCGUCGACAUCUUUACUAAAGGUCUCUCAAAGUCUCGGUUCCUUCUAUUAACAAACAAGCUUAUGGUUCGUGCACGACCCAUCAGCUUGCAGGGGUGUGAUAACCAUGGAAAGCCAGAAUUCAAAUCAAAUUCAAACACCACCACUUAUGACUCCCAAUCAGAUAUGAUCUCUACCUAAAAUAGACCUCCAGUUGUUCCAGCUGUAUAUCUCACCAUGAUUCUCUCUUAAUUGUUACCGUUGUGAAUUCUUUUAGUUUAGCCAAAUAUAUUUCUGUCAUAAUUAUCAAUCCCUACAAUUGAGGGAAUGCUAUGUAAUGUUUAUCAAUAUAUAUACUUCACGAGAAUCACCACAGGUAUGAUCUGAAACUGUAUUGUUAUCUAUAUUCUCCUUCACACCUUACACUUUAGUUGUGCACAACACAUGGCAACUAUUUGUGCACAGAUAAUACAAUUAAUAUAUAAGUACUCCAAUCAAGAAAUCCCUCGUCAAUAUGCGUGUUAUUCGCAACUGCCGAGAGACAGCAGGUCCUCCAACCGUGUCAUCUCCCACCCUCCUGACAGAUUCCUCAUCCAAUGCCAGAGUUCAAUCUGAUUGUCGAAGCCAAUGUCUCAAAGAAAAACUACCAUGAUACUGCCAUAAAAUAAAAGGGAAGAAAUAAACUUUCAAAUCCCUAAACUCACAAAUGGAGAAAUUGAAAUAUGAGAAGAACUCUGCUUUGAAAGUUUGGUACCUCUUCAACAACAUUGAAUAAUGGGAAAUUUUGGUGGUUCUAGACUUAUGGUCGAGGAAAGGUUUAUUAGCACAAAUACUGGGGAACGAAACAAGACAUGAAUAAAUCAGCACCCUGAAUUAGUGCACCUCCCACACAUGGGUACAACUAGCCCAGUGGAUAGGCAUAUUAAAGUAAAUGCAAGCUUUCCCCCGUUUUAUGCUGUUUUUGAGUUUUAUAUUCUGCUUCCACGCGCAACAUGCAGAGAUAUGAAGGCUCGUCCAGUAAACAGAAAACCUCCAACAGGGGUCUUGUAGAAAGACUACACUGCCUAGCAUAAACAACUAAAUGGAUUCACACAACGAAACAUUUAAUGCAUCAGCAAUAUAAAAAUCUUACACAGAAAGAGAACAUACCCCAUGUGAAGGGCGGAGCCUUGUAGAAAACUUAGGUGUGCUGUAGCUCAGGUAACAAAAUUAAUUAUAAAAAAUCUAAUAACUCACUUUACUUUCUCCUUGUCUUUCACGGAAAACCUAACAUAAAUAAUUAGUUGGUUGUUUUCCUUUUGUCUCUUACGGAAAACCUUUGGUUGUUUUCCUUUCGUGUCUCUUACCGACAACCAAAGUCUUUUGUAAAAAACCUGAACACGGAUAAUUAAUUGGUGUAUAAAUCAGAUUCACCUACUUGGAAAGUAAACUCCAGAACAAAGCCCCAAACCUGUAUUGCUCGCAUUCCUCUACGUUUUGCUUGGGUACUGACAAGUUUCCUUAGCACAACUUUAAUGUUAUGCGAAGGGCUGCAAUUUCACAUUGUCCCGCAAGAUAUCACAACAGUCUUAAAAAACAUUUAAUGAAAAGAAUAAAUUUUUAAUAUUUUAUUUUUAAAUUGGGAAAGGUGUCUUGUUUAAGAAUAUCACCUCCUCCUACUACUACUACUACUAUUAUUAUUAUUAUUAUUAUUAUUAUUAUUAACCCUAACUAGUCAGCAGAGAUUUUAUGGUGCGAAACUGGUUGUGUAAAAAAAAAGAUAUUAUUACUCCUUAAGCGUUAUAUCUGAAGUAAGUUGUAUUGCUAGUUUUGUCUUAAAUUGUUAAGAUUUUAUAUUAUGAUGGUCUACUUGUAAUAUUCUUAACUUUGACAUCAGUGAAUAUUUAACUACGGAUACUUUCAAUUCUGACAUUGGUAAAUAUUACGUAGUAAAAAACAUAUGGUAUUCACGAUAAGAUUGUCACAGCCACAUGUACUUGGGUUCAAUAAUUUGUUGAGUUCAAGGAUAUUGGGUCUGAUAAUUUGCCAAAACCAUAAAUAUUUAGGAUUAGCACUUAGUUGAGCUCAAGGAUGCGGGGUUUAAUAGUUCGCUAGACUCAUGUAUGCUUGGGCUCAACACUUGACUGAGCCUAAGAAUAUUGGGUGUGGUAGCUCGCCAAAUUAACCUACGCAUGCUUGGGCUCAAUUCUUGGCUGAGUCCAAGGAUGUUGGGUAUGGUAACUCGUCAGACUCAUUUAUACUUAGGCUCGGAAAGAUGCUGAAUCUAGUAACUCGUCAGAUUCAUAUAUAUAUAUAUAUACUUGAGUUCAACACUUGGUUGAAUAAAAAAAAUACUAGAUGUAGUAGUUUGCUAGACCUAAUAUGUAUUUAGACUCAAUACUUAACUAAUACUUAACUAUGUUUAAUGAUAUUGAGUUAUCAUUCUAUCUUUAUUUUUUUAUUUUGAACAUGAUUUUAGGUAAAUAACACAUUGAUAUGAUUGUCACAUAAACUUAGUAAAAUCAAAUCAUUUUAUGUAAUUUAAUUACAUAAACAACAACAUUUCACUUGCUUUUCUAUAUAAAAAGCAAAAAUUAGCGAUCCAGUUAGCAUCUAUUAGUACGAGAAAUGACAAUCAAUCUAAUUUUUUAUCAUUAAACUAAGUACUAGUUAUGCGUUUCAAAGCUAAAGAUAAUGUGUAUUAAAGAAAAAUAAUGAUAUACUUUACGGUUUAAAAAAUAUAUUUUUAUUGCAGUUUUAAAAUGAAAAUUAUAAUAUAUAUAUAUAUAAUUAAAAUUACUGGAAGAUAAAUUUUUACAUGUAAAAUAAAUAAAAAAAUUAUUCUAACUUCUAUAAAAUUAAAAUUUAAAACAUAAUUAUAUAUAGGCACUAGUAUAAAAUAAAAAUUAUUUACCUAAUCAAAUAAUUCUCUUUAUAACUAUAAUUAGACAAAAAACAAAGCGCAAUGUAUCUUCAAUACUCAAUACAUUGUCAAGAGAAACCUUAUUAAUUUGUUUGUUUUUAUUUUUUAAAAGUAUUUAAAAAAAAUUAAAAAAAUUUUAUAUUUUUUUAUUUAAAAUUAAUAUUUUUUUGAUAUUUUUAAAUUAUUUUGAUGUCCUAAUAUAAAAAAUAAUUUUUAAAAAAUAAAAAAAUAUUAUUUUAAUAAAAAGUAACUACUAUACUUAGAAAUACUUUAUGGAAUAAAUUGCUUAACUGAUUUGGGGUUAAAAUUCCAUGUUUUAUUAGUUUUUUUUAUUUAUUUAAUGGUCACAUCAAUUCAGAGUCUUGUUAUUUUUUUCAAUACAAGCUUUUUGCUUUUUGUCCUUGCCAUCAACCGAGAUCGCACGUUUAUCGCGCGAAUGAUAACACUACGUAAGCUUUCUACGUAGCGAUUCGCGCGAAUGAUAACACUACGUAAGCACUACGUAAGCUUUCUACGUAGCGAUUCGCGCGAAUGAUAACACUACGUAAGCUUUCUACGUAGCGACUCGCGCGAAUGAUAACACCAGGUAAGCUUUCUACGUAGCGACUCGCGCGAUAGGAUAAAUCAUGUUUGCUUUCUAAGGACCCACCUCUACUUUAAAUUUAAAGUAGAGGUGGGUCCGGGUAGUUCCUUAUAAAUAAGUAAAUGGAAAGUUCCCAGUUCUCCCAACCAAGAAAAAACCCAUUUCAUUUGCUUUGCUUUUGCUUGUCCUAGAAAAUGGCAGCGUUCUCCAAGAUCCUCAGAGAGACUGAUACUAAGAAGAGGCUGUCAGUUCCUAUCAGGUUUCUCAGGUCUCUUCCACCUUUCAAACUAGGCAGCCAUGCCGUCACGUUUGAAGCUACAGACGAGAAAGGCGAAGCUUGGCCCUUUCAAUGCUCCAUCCGCAAGAGAGGACACCCGAAGCCAGUCCUCACAAAAGGUUGGGUUGCGUUCGUUAAGAGCAAGAAGCUACAAGUUGGUGACAAGGUCAGGUUUAUUAAACGUAAGAACCGAGCUACUGCAGCAAUCUCUUACAUAGUUCGUGCUGAAAAGGCAAUCAAGAUCUUUGGUGUUACAUUUGGCUAUGCCCGGAUUGAUCUAGUCCAUUUCCCUAAUUAAUAGCUCUGUAAGUCAAGCUAGCAAAUAAUAGUGCCGGUUUCAUGCACUGGCUUGCAUGGCUCUUAAUCGAGUCCCUUUCUGUUCUUUUGCAUUUUACUUCUCCUCAGUCGUAAUUCUAGUCUACUAAGUUACCUCGGUGACUUGAAUAUUCUCAUGCACCAGACAGGAAACACCAAGGUUGUUAUUAAUGGUUGGCUUGUUAACUAUAUCCAGUAGGGAAUGAAAUGGAGCCAUGUUUCCCGCUUAGGGGACAUGUUAGAUUUCUAAGUUGGGUGAGUUUCAAGUUUCUUGAAUUCUCAUAUAUUUGUGCUGCUUCUGCAAUUAGUAUAAAUGUUUAACUUUCAAAAGCCAUCCCAUCUGCUAUGGUCUCUCAAGAUGUUCCUUUUGCACCUUUCUUUCAAGAAUAUGGAAUUACUGAUCUCUGAAUAACGCAAUAAGUAGCUCGCGAGGCCACUUCUCAUGCAAGGGUACGUACGUAGUAGCAGUAAUGUGGUAUAUGUGAUUGCGCUCUUGCAUAUGAAAUGUGAAUUAUUUUGCAUAUUCGGCAUCUUGACGAAAGAAAGUAACGAUGUUGGCUUAAAUCCGUUGCCUGAUUGCCUCUUUAAGAGGUAUUAUUUCUUGUUUAAAAUUAUGAUAUCAAAGUGGGUUUGAUCAUGAAAAUACACCUCUUGAAAUAGAGAGAUCAUAUAUAGCUAGCUAGGUUAUAAAUUACCUGAAUCCUCGACUUCCUAUCGACGUAGAAUAAUGAUAUAAUUAAUCAUAGAGUAUUAGUAAUGAGGAGGCUUGUUGGUUCAGUCAUGGAAUCCUCGACACAGAACUAAAAAAACGGCACUCGUACCGUUCAUUUCUUUUCUUUUUUGAUGUCGGCGCCAUGUGGUCAAGGUGAUGGUGAGAAUGGUGGGCGCACCAAAUCCACCCUCGGGCCCUACCACAUCCACAUGCAUAUAAAAUUUAUGACAUUAAUGUUCUUACAAAAAUUAGUUUUAUGAUUCUCAUGGCGAUGAUUUGAUACUUCACAUCUGGGUGUUGAGAUGCUGUUAGUUUUUCAUCCAUCACCGGGUAAUUUUUUCAUUAAAAUAAUGUUGCUUUUUAUUAUUAUUAUUAUUAUUAUUAUUGAUCCGAUUAGUUCCAACAGGUCACUACAAUUCCGAUCACAUUUAAAUGAUUUGUCCGUAACAAUAUCUUAUAAAAUUCAAUUAAAAGAGACCCAGCCCAAAUCUAUGUUUUGAAUUUUCCGAAUCAAUCAACAAAGCUAGGCAGAGUUUGACGGCUAUAAUCAUUCAUGACUAAAAUUCUAUUUAUUUUUGUUUUUUAAAAAUAUUUUUAAAAUAAUUUAAAUUUUUUUUAUUUUUUUAUUUGCUUCAAAUUAAUAUUAUUUUAGUAUUUUCAAAUUAUUUUGAUAUAUCAAUAUCAAAUAUGAUUUUUUAAAAAAAAAAUUUAUUUUAAUAUAUUUCUAAAAAACAAAUAUUUUAAAAAACAACUCCUACCCUCCCAAACCUCUAAAAAAAACCAUUAUCACAAGUGAAAUAAAUCUGAGAAGUGCGUGUUCGACUUGGUAAUAGCCAUAGCAUCAUUUUAGGUCGGUCGGAAUCUUAAGAAUGGUUCGUGGCUGCAAAAUUGAUUGAGCAUGAGCGUACCAAAGCAGAAGCUGUUCCCCUGCUGAUGGUUUUAUAGUCUGUUUGGUAUCAUCUUGACUACCUCUGGCUGUCUUCUUAUUAAUUAAGGUUUGGCCAAAUUAAGGGUAGACAAGCCACUCAGACAACAGGCCGCACUGCAUUUGGAAAAGGUUGAUCUUCUUCAAUUAAUCGACUUUACAAAUUACACGAGCAAGAACAAAAUAGCUAAAUACACUCCCGACAGAAAUUUCUAUCUACAGUUGUGCGCAAUUGCUAUCUACAGGUUUCAUCAACACAUAGAUCUUGUAAAUAAGAGAGCUGAUCCAUUGACCCCGCGCAGGACUAGCAGUCUGGAAUCCACAUAUGUUCCACAGACGAGCCUAGACAAAUCAAACAUCUCAGGUGGCACUUGCACACGAAUUUCUUGAACUAU